This 1588-nucleotide long non-coding RNA is filed under the name Homo sapiens (human). Its description in RNAcentral is "HSALNT0100283". Lineage: Eukaryota; Metazoa; Chordata; Mammalia; Primates; Hominidae. The record is from RNAcentral.
AGGAUGGUCUCAAUCUCCUGACCUCGUGAUCCACCCGUCUCAGCCUCCCAAAGUGCUGGGAUUACAGGCGUGAGCCACCGCGCCCGGCCUUGUUCCCUUUCUUAGAACAUACCUUGCAAAGGUUCAGGGCACUCGCAGGGGCUGUGAAGUGAAGUGAGCAUUUGAAAGACAAGAUUCCUGACAUUCCCAGAAACGGUCCCUGGUCUCCUACCAAAUGCACUGACCCUGGCGAUGGUCACCCUCAUGUUGACCUGAACCUAGGAGUGGAGGGAAAAGUGGAGAAAAAACUUGUUCCUUGUCAUAGUAAGACACGGCUAUGGAGAGAGGGGGGCUUCAGCCCUGCCCUGGCCUCGGUAACAUGACUGUGCUCGUGCCUCCUUUCUCCAAGCUGUGGCGUGAGCUCACUCAUCUUUGGGGAAAGCUGCAGCCGCCUCCUGCCCUGACGCCCUACAGAUGGGUCUCAGCUCAGGGCAGGGCUGCGGGAGGCAACAGAGAGGCUCCCUUGUGGUAUCAUCUCAGCCAGGGGUGAAACCCAAGGAAAUCUUAAGACCAGAGCUGCAAUUAAUUAUAUCAUGCUUAUUCCUUAGAUUCCUGAGUUCAGUUAUCCCUGAUCCGUUCAACAGACUUUAACUGAGUAGUUGCUGAGGACCGAGCACUGUGCGAGGUGUUAUUUGCUCACAGCUGAUUUAUUUCUAAAGCUGACUUAAAGCCUGCCUUGGCACUGUAGGAAGAUCUCUACUCCUUUCAGUUCUGUUUUUUCCACUUUUUCUUAAUAUAGGAGGUCAUAUCCGGCACAGGGGCUGUCCGUAUAGCUCUGCUUUCGAAAACCAACUCCCUGCUCAGCUGGGCUAGGAUUGAAGGGUUUUGCCCAGUUAAAAUGUUCCUUUACUUCCAUCUUCAGGCAGGAGAACACAGCCCUCCCUCUGUCCUUGGCAAUUAUCCUGCAGCAGAAUCACGAUCCCCCUCCCCAGCCACCACCACUUCCCCCAGGAAGCAGCUGAUGGCUCUGGGUCCAUUGUAUCUUCUAGACAGGGAACUGCUACCAGCCUGCAAAAUCAGCCCGAGAAUACAAAAAGCCAGUUCAGAGAUGCUGCUAUUGAAACUCGGUUUCCGUUUCUGUCAUUUCCUAACCUUCCUGAGCAGGUAGUACAAGGCCUUAGUUUUCUCCUCCAUGCCAUACCAAUGCCUACAACAUUUCUUGCUUGCAUCAUUCAUUUGACACCUAGCACAACAUGGUUCCAUUUUGUUCUGGAUAUGUUCUGAUUCCCAAACUAGACUUUCAAGGAGUGAGGCUGGUGGCAGGGCUGGUGCAGAGUGGGAGGGUGGUGAGAAUUUAACUUCCGCAGGCAUAGUUUCACUUGGCAUAGAGAAUUCUUUUUUAGCCAAAUCCUUAAGGAUCAUCUUGUUUUGGUAAACCUUAUUUUUGUUUUAGAAACAAAAACAUAGCUCGUGCGGCAAAGCCAAGAGUGAGACUAUUAAAACAAAAUUGUCCUGUUUAAUACAUUUCCUCAAAGUGCCUGAGAGUGAAAGACUAAGAGACCCUAGACCAAGGCCAGGUGCAGUGGCUCACGCCUGUAAUCCCAGCACU